GAAUUUUCCGCAAUGGGCGAAAGCCUGACGGAGCAAUGCCGCGUGAAGGAUGAAGGCCUGUGGGUUGUAAACUUCUUUUCUCAUAGAAGAUAAUGACGGUAUAUGAGGAAUAAGCAUCGGCUAACUCCGUGCCAGCAGCCGCGGUAAUACGGAGGAUGCAAGCGUUAUCCGGAAUGAUUGGGCGUAAAGCGUCUGUAGGUGGCUGUUUAAGUCUACUGUCAAAAAUCAAGGCUUAACCUUGGGAAGGCAGUGGAAACUAGACGGCUUGAGUUGGGUAGAGGCAGAGGGAAUCCCCGGUGUAGCGGUGAAAUGCGUAGAUAUCGGGAAGAACACCAGUGGCGAAGGCGCUCUACUGGGCUAAAACUGACACUGAGAGACGAAAGCUAGGGUAGCGAAAGGGAUUAGAUACCCCUGUAGUC
Molecule: ribosomal RNA, 419 nt
Filed under: uncultured cyanobacterium
Lineage: Bacteria; Bacillati; Cyanobacteriota
Description: bacterial SSU rRNA
Rfam family: Bacterial small subunit ribosomal RNA
Source: RNAcentral